GACGAACGCUGGCGGCGUGCUUAACACAUGCAAGUCGAACGAAGAGCGAUGGAAGCUUGCUUCUAUCAAUCUUAGUGGCGAACGGGUGAGUAACGCGUAAUCAACCUGCCCUUCAGAGGGGGACAACAGUUGGAAACGACUGCUAAUACCGCAUACGAUCUAAUCUCGGCAUCGAGGAUAGAUGAAAGGUGGCCUCUACAUGUAAGCUAUCACUGAAGGAGGGGAUUGCGUCGGAUUAGCUAGUUGGAGGGGUAACGGCGCACCAAGGCGAUGAUCAGUAGCCGGUCUGAGAGGAUGAACGGCCACAUUGGGACUGAGACACGGCCCAGACUCCUACGGGAGGCAGCAGUGGGGAAUCUUCCGCAAUGGACGAAAGUCUGACGGAGCAACGCCGCGUGAGUGAUGACGGCCGUCGGGUUGUAAAGCUCGGUUAAUCGGGACGAAAGGCCUUCUUGCGAAUAGUGAGAAGGAUUGACGGUACCGGAAUAGAAAGCCACGGCUAACUACGUG
Molecule: ribosomal RNA, 510 nt
Filed under: uncultured bacterium
Lineage: Bacteria
Description: partial 16S ribosomal RNA
Rfam family: Bacterial small subunit ribosomal RNA
Source: RNAcentral